This is a non-coding RNA of Leptonychotes weddellii (Weddell seal), 1617 nucleotides long. NCBI's taxonomy places the organism in Eukaryota, Metazoa, Chordata, Mammalia, Carnivora, Phocidae. The record is from RefSeq and is a predicted model, not a curated record.
CCGUGAGAUUAAGACCUGAGCUGAGGUCAAGAGUCAGAUGCUCAAUCAGCUGAGCCACCCAAGCAGCCCAAGAUGAAACAUAUUUUAAGGAAUGUAGAAGCAUCCUUCUUAGCAACUGGCAUGUUUCCAGCUUAGCUGCUGACGGCAUAAGACUAGAUCUGGAGCCCGGGAAGUCCACGAUCAAGGUGCCAGCCAGUUUCGUUCCUGGGGCGAGGAGAGGCCUCUUCGUGGUUUGCAGAAAGCCAUCUCCUCGUUGUACCCUCACAUUGCAGAGAGAGAGAGAGAGGGUCCCGGUCUCCCGCUCUUCUUAGAAUGGCCCUAAUUCCACCAUGGGGGCUUCAUCUUUAUGGCUUCUUUUAAAUCUAAUUAAUGUUCGAAGGUUCUACCUUCAAAUUCCAUCACAUUGGGAGUUAGAGUUUCAACAUAGGAAUUUUGGGAGGACAUAAACAUUCAGUCCAUAGCACUAAGCUUCAAUUUCUUUAUCUGCAAAAUAUAUAUCACACCUAUUUGUAAGGUUUAACAAUGAAAUAAGAUUUUUAUAAGGCCUUAGCUCAGUCUCAUAAUAAAAACAAAGUAUUCAAACAUUUCCUGACUAUGUAUCAUGCACUGUUGAAGAAAAUCUAAAGAAUAAUAACGAUUUAUGGAAUGCCAUUCUUUCAGAACUACGCUAAAUGCCUUUAUGCAUGUAUUCACUGGAUCCUUCAUAACACCCUACAAGUAUCAUUAGCAAUGCGAGCUCUUGAAGAUUUUUGAACAUCAUGAUCACCAUGCUAACAAGUUGCUGUGAUGGAAAAGUGUAGGAUGGAUUGAAGGAGGAAGAGUUGGAUGAGUGAGUCCAAUUAGGAGGCCAUGACAGAAGUUGGGGUACGGAGAAGAGACGGGGUAAUCGGUUUGGGAAUGGGUAAUGCUAAUGUGUGAAAUAAUGCAAAGGAAGAGUCAAUAGAGCUUACUAAUCCAUAUUGAGAAUGGGGAGGAGAGGCAAGAAUACUAGGUUCGAGCUAGGAUUAAGCUAUAGAGACCAGAAUUGUACCAAUUGAAUGGACUGAAUAAGUCAAGAGAGGGAGAGAAUACUAAAGAGAAGUUCCAUUCUAGAUAAUGCUGAAAUGGAAAUGGUAGAAAGACAUCCAAGUAGAAAAGAGAAAGUACCCAGAGAAAUGUAUAAAGUUGCACAACUGCGAGGUAUUAUUGAAAAGAUUUUUAAAGCAAUUCUCUUAGUUUUUACCUGCAUCUUUGGGAACAAAGUGUUGAUCUCAACCUAACCAAUUCAAAUGGGAAUGAUUAAGCUGAUCACAAGGUAUGAUAUAAUCUUCAUAUGGAUGUAUGAAGAUUGUAACUCAAAGGCAAAUGUCAGGUUCACUUUAUAAUAAUGGAGAGAGAAUUGGAGACAUAAAAGCCUUUUAAUAUUGUAUGUAGUUGAGAAUAACCCUAUGGAAAAUUGAAAAUAUAUCCAACAACUUCAAUUCUGGUUUACAUUAAGCUGCUGGGUUCAAGUAUUCCAACAUGAUGUUACUGUUAUGAAAUAAGUUUAGAAAAAUCAAGAGAAAACAUUGUGUAAAAUGGUUUUGUACUAACGGUAUUGGGAUCAGAGCAAAUAAAGCUUUAUUGUUUAAGAAGUCA